GAUGAACGCUGGCGGCGUGCCUAACACAUGCAAGUCGAACGAAGCACUUUAUUUGAUUUCCUUCGGGACUGAUUAUUUUGUGACUGAGUGGCGGACGGGUGAGUAACGCGUGGGUAACCUGCCUUGUACAGGGGGAUAACAGUUGGAAACGGCUGCUAAUACCGCAUAAGCGCACAGCAUCGCAUGAUGCAGUGUGAAAAACUCCGGUGGUAUAAGAUGGACCCGCGUUGGAUUAGCUAGUUGGUGAGGUAACGGCCCACCAAGGCGACGAUCCAUAGCCGACCUGAGAGGGUGACCGGCCACAUUGGGACUGAGACACGGCCCAAACUCCUACGGGAGGCAGCAGUGGGGAAUAUUGCACAAUGGGCGAAAGCCUGAUGCAGCGACGCCGCGUGAGCGAAGAAGUAUUUCGGUAUGUAAAGCUCUAUCAGCAGGGAAGAUAAUGACGGUACCUGACGAAGAAGCACCGGCUAAAUACGUG
Molecule: ribosomal RNA, 481 nt
Filed under: uncultured bacterium
Lineage: Bacteria
Description: partial 16S ribosomal RNA
Rfam family: Bacterial small subunit ribosomal RNA
Source: RNAcentral